Molecule: long non-coding RNA, 416 nt
Organism: Lolium rigidum
Lineage: Eukaryota; Viridiplantae; Streptophyta; Magnoliopsida; Poales; Poaceae
Exons: 4
Source: RefSeq, a predicted model, not a curated record
CGCGGGCCAGGCCACGCGCGGCGCCGCCUGGUCUUCCGCAUCCCCGCCUCUUCCUCGCCUCUCCGUCCCCGUUGCGCCCAAGUGCUGCUGGAGGCAGCCGGAGACAGAGGCUGGAUGGGCUGUUGAUGCUCUCCGCCUUCCGCCGGACGCAGUGGUAGGACGGCGGAGCCUGAGUAGUGGAUGGGUCGGAAAGAUUGGUGGGCAAGUUCUCCGAGCAUUAUGACAGCCGGUUCAGUAGCACCUUCUCCUGUGCUGUCACCUCGGUCGUCGUCAAGGUUAUGAAGAAUGGUGUCGAUGUGAAGUUGCGGAGGAAUUCUUCGAGUCUCUUGCAAGCUCCAACCGGCAACAAAGUUGCUGAAAAUAUUUGUACCUGUCCAGUAGGGCUUGACCUGGUGCUACCGGCAUCCACUACGACC